This 817-nucleotide ribosomal RNA is filed under the name Arthrobacter sp. PAP2-20_Pa. RNAcentral describes it as "bacterial SSU rRNA". It matches the Rfam family "Bacterial small subunit ribosomal RNA", at positions 61 to 888 of the family's 1533-position model. Lineage: Bacteria; Bacillati; Actinomycetota; Actinomycetes; Micrococcales; Micrococcaceae. The record is from RNAcentral.
GUCGAACGAUGAUCUCCAGCUUGCUGGGGGGAUUAGUGGCGAACGGGUGAGUAACACGUGAGUAACCUGCCCUUGACUCUGGGAUAAGCCUGGGAAACUGGGUCUAAUACCGGAUACGACCGUCCCGCGCAUGCGGUGGUGGUGGAAAGCUUUUGCGGUUUUGGAUGGACUCGCGGCCUAUCAGCUUGUUGGUGGGGUAAUGGCCUACCAAGGCGACGACGGGUAGCCGGCCUGAGAGGGUGACCGGCCACACUGGGACUGAGACACGGCCCAGACUCCUACGGGAGGCAGCAGUGGGGAAUAUUGCACAAUGGGCGAAAGCCUGAUGCAGCGACGCCGCGUGAGGGAUGACGGCCUUCGGGUUGUAAACCUCUUUCAGUAGGGAAGAAGCGAAAGUGACGGUACCUGCAGAAGAAGCGCCGGCUAACUACGUGCCAGCAGCCGCGGUAAUACGUAGGGCGCAAGCGUUAUCCGGAAUUAUUGGGCGUAAAGAGCUCGUAGGCGGUUUGUCGCGUCUGCUGUGAAAGACCGGGGCUCAACUCCGGUUCUGCAGUGGGUACGGGCAGACUAGAGUGAUGUAGGGGAGACUGGAAUUCCUGGUGUAGCGGUGAAAUGCGCAGAUAUCAGGAGGAACACCGAUGGCGAAGGCAGGUCUCUGGGCAUUAACUGACGCUGAGGAGCGAAAGCAUGGGGAGCGAACAGGAUUAGAUACCCUGGUAGUCCAUGCCGUAAACGUUGGGCACUAGGUGUGGGGGACAUUCCACGUUUUCCGCGCCGUAGCUAACGCAUUAAGUGCCCCGCCUGGGGAGUACGGCCG